Euleptes europaea (tarantolino) is the source of this 105-nucleotide small nuclear RNA. The record is from RefSeq and is a predicted model, not a curated record. Lineage: Eukaryota; Metazoa; Chordata; Lepidosauria; Squamata; Sphaerodactylidae.
GCUCGCUUCGGCAGCACAUAUACUAAAAUUGGAACGAUACAGAGAAGAUUAGCAUGGCCCCUGCGCAAAAUAUACAAUUUCAGUCUAGGGUUGCCAGCUCCGCAU